UACGAAGGGGGCUAGCGUUGUUCGGAAUUACUGGGCGUAAAGCGUAUGCAGGCGGUUCGUUAAGUCGGGGGUGAAAUCCCGAGGCUCAACCUCGGAACUGCCUUCGAUACUGGCGAUCUUCGAGUCCGGGAGAGGUGAGUGGAACUCCGAGUGUAGAGGUGAAAUUCGUAGAUAUUCGGAAGAACACCAGUGGCGAAGGCGGCUCACUGGCCCGGUACUGACGCUGAGAUACGAAAGCGUGGGGAGCAAACAGG
Molecule: ribosomal RNA, 254 nt
Filed under: uncultured bacterium
Lineage: Bacteria
Description: partial 16S ribosomal RNA
Rfam family: Bacterial small subunit ribosomal RNA
Source: RNAcentral